ACGCUGGCGGCAGGCUUAACACAUGCAAGUCGAACGGUAGCAGGAGGAAGCUUGCUUUCUUGCUGACGAGUGGCGGACGGGUGAGUAAUGCUUGGGAAUCUGGCUUAUGGAGGGGGAUAACUACGGGAAACUGUAGCUAAUACCGCGUAGUGUCGAGAGACGAAAGUGCGGGACCGCAAGGCCGCAUGCCAUGAGAUGAGCCCAAGUGGGAUUAGGUAGUUGGUGGGGUAAAGGCCUACCAAGCCUGCGAUCUCUAGCUGGUCUGAGAGGAUGGCCAGCCACACUGGAACUGAGACACGGUCCAGACUCCUACGGGAGGCAGCAGUGGGGAAUAUUGCGCAAUGGGGGGAACCCUGACGCAGCCAUGCCGCGUGAAUGAAGAAGGCCUUCGGGUUGUAAAGUUCUUUCGGUAUUGAGGAAGGAGUGUAUGUUAAUAGCAUACAUUAUUGACGUUAAAUACAGAAGAAGCACCGGCUAACUCCGUGCCAGCAGCCGCGGUAAUACGGAGGGUGCGAGCGUUAAUCGGAAUAACUGGGCGUAAAGGGCACGCAGGCGGUUAUUUAAGUGAGGUGUGAAAGCCCCGGGCUUAACCUGGGAAUUGCAUUUCAGACUGGGUAACUAGAGUACUUUAGGGAGGGGUAGAGUUCCACGUGUAGCGGUGAAAUGCGUAGAGAUGUGGAGGAAUACCGAAGGCGAAGGCAGCCCCUUGGGAAUGUACUGACGCUCAUGUGCGAAAGCGUGGGGAGCAAACAGGAUUAGAUACCCUGGUAGUCCACGCUGUAAACGCUGUCGAUUUGGGGAUUGGGCUUUAAGCUUGGUGCCCGUAGCUAACGUGAUAAAUCGACCGCCUGGGGAGUACGGCCGCAAGGUUAAAACUCAAAUGAAUUGACGGGGGCCCGCACAA
This 904-nucleotide ribosomal RNA is filed under the name uncultured bacterium. Its description in RNAcentral is "bacterial SSU rRNA". It matches the Rfam family "Bacterial small subunit ribosomal RNA", at positions 33 to 928 of the family's 1533-position model. The record is from RNAcentral.